GAAAUGCGAUAAGUAGUGUGAAUUGCAGAAUUCAGUGAAUCAUCGAAUCUUUGAACGCACAUUGCGCCCCUCGGUAUUUCGUGGGGCAUGCCUGUUCGAGCGUCAUCUACACCCUCAAGCUCUGCUUGGUGUUGGGCGUCUGUCCCGCCUCCUUCGCGCGCGGACUCGCCCCAAAUCCAUUGGCGGCGGCCCUUGCCUCCCUCUCGCGCAGCACAUUGCGCUUCUCGAGGCGCGGCGGACCGCGUCCAGCAAGCAACCGUCACACCGUCUUUGACCUCGGAUCAGGUAGGGAUACCCGCUGAACUUAAGC
RNAcentral lists this unclassified non-coding RNA (310 nucleotides) under plant metagenome. RNAcentral describes it as "partial contains 5.8S ribosomal RNA, internal transcribed spacer 2, and large subunit ribosomal RNA". The stretch from base 1 to 105 matches the Rfam family "5.8S ribosomal RNA", at positions 50 to 154 of the family's 154-position model. The record is from RNAcentral.